UCGUUGUUGCCCUCCCAGCUCUUCGUCUCAGCUCGUUGCGCCUAAAAAGGUAAAGUUAUCCGAAAUCACGAUUCUUUAUUCGAGUUCUGUUUUGGUAAAAUGAAAUAGAUUGUUGGUCUGGUUUCUUCUUUUUAAAAUGGUUUUUUUUUUCUUUUUCUUUUCUCUGUUCAUGGCUUUGUAUGUUGAAAGGUCGUUCCACCUUGAAUCAAUGCCUCUUAGUUGUUCAAAGUAAAAAUGAACCUCUUCUAGUAAACUAAAAGCUGAAAAUUCUAUGGUUUUGAACUCUAGCUUUCUCUUGAUUUUCACAUUUUUAUUCACUUUCUCUCUACGUUUUGGUUAUUCACUUUAGAUCGAUGUAGGCGAAGAUAGCUAAAAUAACUUUCGUGGUUGCUAUCUUGACCCCUUUUGAUCGGUUAAUGUAGUUUUUUCUUUUAAAAAAUAGGAGCAGAUUUUUUUUUUAAAAAAAAUAAGUUAGUAUGAAAUUUGUAUGCUAUUUCAGCCAUGACUCGUUGAUCCAGUAACUUGUUCUCUUCAUUUUUGAAUCUCAUGAUUGUUCUACUAUUGGCAUAACAUGUUGCGCUCGAGUUCAUGCUUCCGUGUGCUUAAAGAGUUGGCUUGUUGGUCAUGUCGUAUUCACCUCGAUUUUUUUUUUUUGUUGUUGUAUAAACUCUAUCAUGCCUAUGAUUGUUUUCAUCUAAAUUAAGUGGAUGGUUGGACUGAAUCCUCUGCUCGAACUUUGUUCGAGGCUCUCACUUGUUUUCUUAGAUGUUUCUUUAUUCAUGUCUUGUCUAAGGUUUAGCGUAAAUUUCGGAACGUAGCUUAAAACUUGUUUAAGUGUGCUAGUGAAAAUAAAAAAUGGUCAAUCUUUGAUUUAUCUACUUGACUUGAAGUUUUUGGUGGCCAUGGUUUCUUUUUCUCUUAAGGUAAGAAUUUGAGAUAUUUUCGAGUCGGUUAACUUUGUUUUAAAUCGGUCCAGUUGUGUUUGAUCUUGUUUGUCGGAUUGAUUAAAAUUGUCAUCAUGCCGAUUAGCUCGUUUAUGUAUAUUUAGUCACUAAGAUUAAAAUAUUUUGCCAACUUCUAUGGGUAUCUUAAAUAUACCAAGUGUUUGUUACUGUGGCAAUUCUGGAGCAUUUAGUUGAUUUUGUUUGUUUAAACUAAUAUGCUUGAAUUAUGUCUUCAUCUUAAAAAAAAAAAAAAAAAAAAAUAGUCCAUGUGAUCAGUUUAAGUAAAAUUGCUUUGUCAUGUGUUUAUUUUCUUUCAAGCAUAUUUAAGUGACCAGUUUGGGAAAGUGUCUCCUUUUGGUUCUCAUCGAUUUGUGCGAACGUGCUUACUGUUUCAGCACUUGUCAAUUUUUAUCUAUUUAUUUAUUUUAUGUUCCUACGUCAAAGAGUCCCCUUUUAGUGUGUCUAGAUUUCGGAUGUGCUAACUUCGAAAUGGUAGUUUCUUAUAUUGAGUUUACCUGUCAUCUAGUAGAUUUGUAUAUAUUAUUCUUUAUCCUAAUUCUUAUCGUCUUUCCUUGCAUGAACUCCCUUGAUUGAGUCUAUCGGACUCUACAUCUUCCUCUUGCAUUUCGAGAGAGCCGUAAAGGCCCAAAUUCCUUUAUUCGAGUCAACCAACUUAAAAAUUGACGAACAGGUCCCAGAGUUGAAAGAGUAUGAAGCAGAUCAGGAAUUCGAAAAGAUUGGGCCGAAGGCCCACUCUUAAUUUUAGAAAUUGUAUUUUGUUAUUUUGGGCCUAAGCCCACUUUUUGCUAUACUUGUUAGUUCUUAGGACAGGUGGAAAAAUUGGGCCAAAAGCCCAAAACGAAAAUGGGCCCAAGUAUUGGUCCAGGCGGAC
Molecule: long non-coding RNA, 1836 nt
Filed under: Solanum tuberosum (potato)
Lineage: Eukaryota; Viridiplantae; Streptophyta; Magnoliopsida; Solanales; Solanaceae
Description: long non-coding RNA (STUB_LNC000383)
Source: RNAcentral